Small nucleolar RNA from Conger conger (European conger), 280 nucleotides. NCBI's taxonomy places the organism in Eukaryota, Metazoa, Chordata, Actinopteri, Anguilliformes, Congridae. The record is from RefSeq and is a predicted model, not a curated record.
GCCCUGUGAUGAGACCUUGGCGAAUGUGAGCUAAUGUGCGAGUGCGAGGUUUUCCCAACCGACUGAUUGGUGGGUAAUCUUGGCGGUGUAGUGGAGAUUGGCUGCUCUGCUGUAAGGGUCCACCUACAGUAAAUGUAAAUCUGCCCUCACACUCUUCCUCAUUCCGAGACGUGAGGUGGAAGAGGGUGGAAAUGACAAGUGUGUGUGUGUGUGUCAGGAGGCUGGGAAACUCGCAAACUGUCAGUGUGCCAUGAACAAAUUCUUUGGUAAUCUGAGGGCA